AGUCUGGUGCCAGCAGCCGCGGUAAUUCCAGCUCAUUUAGUGUAUAUUAAAGUUGUUGCAGUUAAAAAGCUCGUAGUCGAUCAUCUAGUGCUGGCUGCUUCGGCUUCGGCUGCGGUACGCGAGUGCUAUCUGCUCGAGAACUUUAUCGGUCUUAACUGGUCGAUGAUGCUGAUCGGGCACUUUCCUGAGAAAAAAUUAGAGUGUUCAAAGCAGGCUAAUGCCUUGAAUAUUACAGCUUGGAAUAAUAGAAUAAGACUGAAGUCUCUUUUGUUGGUUAUGAACUUUAGUAAUGGUUAAUAGGAACAGUCGGGGGUAUUAGUAUUUAAUUGUCAGAGGUGAAAUUCUAUGAUUUAUUAAAGACUAACUUAUGCGAAAGCAUUUGCCAAGGAUGUUUUCAAUUGAUCAAGAACGAAAGUUAGGGGAUCAAAGACGAUCAGAUACCGUCCUAGUCUUAACUAUAAACGAUUCCGACUAUGGAUCAGAAGGGUUUUCCAAUCCCUUUUGGCACAUUAUGAGAAAUCAAAGUCUUUGGGUUCUGGGGGAAGUAUGGACACAAGUCUGAAACUUAAAGGAAUUGACGGAAGGGCACACCAGGUGUGGAGCCUGCGGCUUAAUUUGACUCAACACGGGGAAACUUACUAGGGCAAGACUAAGGUUGGAUUGACAGAUUGAGAGCUCUUUCUUGAUUCUUAGGGUGGUGGUGCAUGGCCGUUCUUAGUUGGUGGAGUGAUUUGUCUGGUUAAUUCCGUUAACGAACGAGACCUCAACCUGCUAAACUAGGAGCCGGAUUAAACAUUCGGUUUCCUUCUUAGAGGGACAAAGUGUUCAAGCACUGGGAAGUGAGGCAAUAACAGGUCUGUGAUGCCCCUAGACGUCCUAGGCCGCACGCGCGCUACAAUGACACGUUCAACGAGUUUCUUCCUGGUCCUGACGGAUUCGGGUAAUCUUCAUAGUACGUGUCGUGCUUUGGGAUAGUCCUUUGCAAUUAUAGGACUUAAACUAGGAAUACCUAGUAUAGGUAAGUCAUCAGCUUGCCUAGAUUAUGUCCCUGCCCUUUGUACACACCGCCCGUCGCUCCUACCGAUUUUGAGUGAUUAGGUGAACCUUCUGGAUCAGAGUAGUCUUCAAGGCUGUUCUGAGAAGUUAAGUAAAUCAUUAUCACUUAGAGGAAGGAGAAGUCGUAACAAGGUUUCCGUAGGUGAACCUGCGGAAG
This 1213-nucleotide ribosomal RNA is filed under the name metagenome. Its description in RNAcentral is "SSU rRNA". It matches the Rfam family "Eukaryotic small subunit ribosomal RNA", at positions 558 to 1823 of the family's 1831-position model. The record is from RNAcentral.